UGGGGAAUAUUGCACAAUGGGCGCAAGCCUGAUGCAGCCAUGCCGCGUGUAUGAAGAAGGCCUUCGGGUUGUAAAGUACUUUCAGCGAGGAGGAAGGCGUUGUGGUUAAUAACCGCAGCGAUUGACGUUACUCGCAGAAGAAGCACCGGCUAACUCCGUGCCAGCAGCCGCGGUAAUACGGAGGGUGCAAGCGUUAAUCGGAAUUACUGGGCGUAAAGCGCACGCAGGCGGUCUGUUAAGUCGGAUGUGAAAUCCCCGGGCUCAACCUGGGAACUGCAUCCGAAACUGGCAGGCUAGAGUCUUGUAGAGGGGGGUAGAAUUCCAGGUGUAGCGGUGAAAUGCGUAGAGAUCUGGAGGAAUACCGGUGGCGAAGGCGGCCCCCUGGACAAAGACUGACGCUCAGGUGCGAAAGCGUGGGGAGCAAACA
This 427-nucleotide ribosomal RNA is filed under the name uncultured bacterium. Its description in RNAcentral is "partial 16S ribosomal RNA". It matches the Rfam family "Bacterial small subunit ribosomal RNA", at positions 355 to 774 of the family's 1533-position model. The record is from RNAcentral.